This 500-nucleotide ribosomal RNA is filed under the name uncultured bacterium. RNAcentral's name for it is "bacterial SSU rRNA". It matches the Rfam family "Bacterial small subunit ribosomal RNA", at positions 29 to 521 of the family's 1533-position model. The record is from RNAcentral.
AUUGAACGCUGGCGGCGUGCUUAACACAUGCAAGUCGAUCGGUAACAGGUGUAGCAAUACAUGCUGACGAGAGGCGGACGGGUGAGGAAUAUUUGGGAAUCUGCCCAUCAGCGGGGGACAACCCGGGGAAACUCGGGCUAAUACCGCAUACGCUCUACGGAGGAAAGCCGGGGACCGCAAGGCCUGGCACUGAUGGAUGAGCCCAAAUCGGAUUAGCUAGUUGGCGGGGUAACGGCCCACCAAGGCGACGAUCCGUAGCUGGUCUGAGAGGACGAUCAGCCACACCGGAACUGAGGCACGGUCCGGACUCCUACGGGAGGCAGCAGUGGGGAAUAUUGGACAAUGGGGGAAACCCUGAUCCAGCGACGCCGCGUGGGUGAAGAAGGCCUGCGGGUUGUAAAGCCCUUUCGGUAGGGAAGAAAUCUCUUGUCUUAACACGGCAGGAGUUUGACUUAACCUACAUAAGAAGCACCGGCUAACUCUGUGCCAGCAGCCGCGGU